GCGUAGGAAACUGAAGAAUCAGCGGAAUGGCGAGAAGUGGUUUGACUUCCAUUGUCCAUGUCGAUCCUUGAAUCUUUAGAACGAGGAUUAAAGGAAGGGAA
Hibiscus syriacus is the source of this 101-nucleotide long non-coding RNA. RefSeq lists it as uncharacterized. Lineage: Eukaryota; Viridiplantae; Streptophyta; Magnoliopsida; Malvales; Malvaceae. The transcript is spliced from 3 exons. The record is from RefSeq and is a predicted model, not a curated record.